UUCGGAUUGUAGUCUGCAACCCGGCUACAUGAAGCUGGAAUCGCUAGUAAUCGCAGAUCAGAAUGCUGCGGUGAAUACGUUCCCGGGUCUUGUACACACCGCCCGUCACACCAUGGGAGUCGGAAAUGCCCGAAGUCGGUGACCCAACCGCUUACGGAGGGAGCUGCCGAAGGCAGGUCUGGUGACUGGGGUGAAGUCGUAACAAGGUAAC
This 211-nucleotide ribosomal RNA is filed under the name uncultured bacterium. RNAcentral describes it as "partial 16S ribosomal RNA". It matches the Rfam family "Bacterial small subunit ribosomal RNA", at positions 1292 to 1500 of the family's 1533-position model. The record is from RNAcentral.